UUGAUGUGCAUUUUUAGUAUGAUACGUAUGACUAAACUCUAAAUUGUAUGUACAUCUUUAGUAGUAGAUCAUUAACCCCGAGGAGUUUUGAGCCUUAUAUGGAUAACACACAAAAAUCCAUCCAUUUCUUUCUUGUGUGAUUCACUCAUAUCUGUUAGUCUCUAGAACUUGAAUUGACUCUUGUUGAUGUUGUUGUUUACUUGUGCACACUGAUAUGAUAAAGACAAUUUUUUGUUCUUUUUUGUUUUUUAGCCAGUUAGCCAG
Molecule: long non-coding RNA, 264 nt
Filed under: Lathyrus oleraceus (garden pea)
Lineage: Eukaryota; Viridiplantae; Streptophyta; Magnoliopsida; Fabales; Fabaceae
Description: Pisum sativum (pea) long non-coding RNA (PSAT_LNC028277)
Source: RNAcentral